RNAcentral lists this non-coding RNA (232 nucleotides) under Enterococcus aquimarinus. RNAcentral describes it as "T-box sequence". It matches the Rfam family "T-box leader". From Rfam's summary of the family: Uncharged tRNA acts as the effector for transcription antitermination of genes in the T-box leader family. The record is from RNAcentral. Lineage: Bacteria; Bacillati; Bacillota; Bacilli; Lactobacillales; Enterococcaceae.
UAUUUCACGUUGAAUUGGUAAAGUAUAUUAUCGGAUGUAACAAAGAGAGGAUCUCACUGGUGGAAGAGAUCUAUACAGAAGUAAUAGAAGUGCGCCAAGGAGUAUGUCCAUCGAAUCAAGUAGAUGAACACGGGUGUUCCCGUUAUUGAACUAGAGUAUGGAAGUACUCGAACUAAAGUUGGGAGCAAUCUCAAACAGAGUGGAACCGCGAAAUUGACCUUUUGCCUCUGUA